CUUUAAUAUGUUAAGCUAGGUGGAAACACCAUUACUAGAAAAUAAUUUAGACCUUGGGCACCUUGGACUCAACAUGUGUUGUACUGAUGUUUUCCAGUGCCUUGGUGAUUCAUACAACUUUCUGGGAUCUUUUGAUUAACAGAGAAAAAGUCAUAAGAUCAGCAAGAAGAGAAACUGUAGAUUUGCCUCAACUCAACAUGUUAAGUAAUCGCCUGACAUCUACAUAAGACCACCUCUUGGCACCUGGCUACACAAGCUGAAAUGGUUGUCUUUGGAAAAAGAAUAGACAUUCAUGGCAGACCAAAG
This 306-nucleotide long non-coding RNA is filed under the name Homo sapiens (human). RNAcentral describes it as "non-protein coding lnc-MTERF1-3:2". The record is from RNAcentral. Lineage: Eukaryota; Metazoa; Chordata; Mammalia; Primates; Hominidae.